Molecule: ribosomal RNA, 1504 nt
Filed under: Helicobacter didelphidarum
Lineage: Bacteria; Pseudomonadati; Campylobacterota; Epsilonproteobacteria; Campylobacterales; Helicobacteraceae
Also listed under: 1 other name
Description: bacterial SSU rRNA
Rfam family: Bacterial small subunit ribosomal RNA
Source: RNAcentral
AUUUUUUAUGGAGAGUUUGAUCCUGGCUCAGAGUGAACGCUGGCGGCGUGCCUAAUACAUGCAAGUCGAACGAUGAAGCUUCUAGCUUGCUAGAAGUGGAUUAGUGGCGCACGGGUGAGUAACGCAUAGAUAACAUGCCCUUUAGUCUAGGAUAGCCACUGGAAACGGUGAUUAAUACUGGAUACUCCCUACGGGGGAAAGUUUUUCGCUAAAGGAUUGGUCUAUGUCCUAUCAGCUUGUUGGUGAGGUAAUGGCUCACCAAGGCUAUGACGGGUAUCCGGCCUGAGAGGGUGAACGGACACACUGGAACUGAGACACGGUCCAGACUCCUACGGGAGGCAGCAGUAGGGAAUAUUGCUCAAUGGGGGAAACCCUGAAGCAGCAACGCCGCGUGGAGGAUGAAGGUUUUAGGAUUGUAAACUCCUUUUGUUAGAGAAGAUUAUGACGGUAUCUAACGAAUAAGCACCGGCUAACUCCGUGCCAGCAGCCGCGGUAAUACGGAGGGUGCAAGCGUUACUCGGAAUCACUGGGCGUAAAGAGUGCGCAGGCGGGGUAGCAAGUCAGAUGUGAAAUCCUAUGGCUUAACCAUAGAACUGCAUUUGAAACUGUUACUCUAGAGUAUGGGAGAGGUAGGUGGAAUUCUUGGUGUAGGGGUAAAAUCCGUAGAGAUCAAGAGGAAUACUCAUUGCGAAGGCGACCUACUGGAACAUUACUGACGCUCAUGCACGAAAGCGUGGGGAGCAAACAGGAUUAGAUACCCUGGUAGUCCACGCCCUAAACGAUGAAUGCUAGUUGUUGCCCUGCUUGUCAGGGCAGUAAUGCAGCUAACGCAUUAAGCAUUCCGCCUGGGGAGUACGGUCGCAAGAUUAAAACUCAAAGGAAUAGACGGGGACCCGCACAAGCGGUGGAGCAUGUGGUUUAAUUCGAAGAUACGCGAAGAACCUUACCUAGGCUUGACAUUGAUAGAAUCUACUAGAGAUAGUGGAGUGCCCUUUUAGGGAGCUUGAAAACAGGUGCUGCACGGCUGUCGUCAGCUCGUGUCGUGAGAUGUUGGGUUAAGUCCCGCAACGAGCGCAACCCUCGUCCUUAGUUGCUAGCAGUUUGGCUGAGCACUCUAAGGAGACUGCCUUCGUAAGGAGGAGGAAGGUGAGGACGACGUCAAGUCAUCAUGGCCCUUACGCCUAGGGCUACACACGUGCUACAAUGGGAUGCACAAAGAGAUGCAAUAUCGCAAGGUGGAGCUAAUCUCAAAAACAUCUCUCAGUUCGGAUUGUAGUCUGCAACUCGACUACAUGAAGCUGGAAUCGCUAGUAAUCGUGAAUCAGCCAUGUCACGGUGAAUACGUUCCCGGGUCUUGUACUCACCGCCCGUCACACCAUGGGAGUUGUAUUCGCCUUAAGUCGGGAUACUAAAUUGGUUACCGCCCACGGCGGAUGCAGCGACUGGGGUGAAGUCGUAACAAGGUAACCGUAGGUGAACCUGCGGUUGGAUCACCUCCUUUCUA